RNAcentral lists this ribosomal RNA (468 nucleotides) under uncultured bacterium. Its description in RNAcentral is "partial 16S ribosomal RNA". It matches the Rfam family "Bacterial small subunit ribosomal RNA", at positions 28 to 507 of the family's 1533-position model. The record is from RNAcentral.
GACGAACGCUGGCGGCGUGCUUAACACAUGCAAGUCGAACGGAAAGGCCCUGCUUUUGUGGGGUGCUCGAGUGGCGAACGGGUGAGUAACACGUGAGUAACCUGCCCUUGACUUUGGGAUAACUUCAGGAAACUGGGGCUAAUACCGGAUAGGAGCUCCUGCUGCAUGGUGGGGGUUGGAAAGUUUCGGCGGUUGGGGAUGGACUCGCGGCUUAUCAGCUUGUUGGUGGGGUAGUGGCUUACCAAGGCUUUGACGGGUAGCCGGCCUGAGAGGGUGACCGGCCACAUUGGGACUGAGAUACGGACCAGACUGGUACGGGAGGCAGCAGUGGGGAAUAUUGCACAGUGGGCGGGAGCCUGAUGCAGCAACGCCGCGUGCGGGAUGACGGCCUUCGGGUUGUAAACCGCUUUCGCCUGUGACGAAGCGGGAGUGACGGUAAUGGGUAAAGAAGCACCGGCUAACUACGUG